GACGAACGCUGGCGGCGUGCUUAACACAUGCAAGUCGAACGGAAAGGCUCCAGCUUGCUGGAGUACUCGAGUGGCGAAAGGGUGAGUAACACGUGGGUAAUCUGCCCUGCACUCUGGGAUAAGCCUGGGAAACUGGGUCUAAUACUGGAUAUGACCUUUCUCCUUAUGGGGUUUGGUGGAAAGUUUUUCGGUUUAGGUUGAGCGCGCGGCCUAUCAGCUUGUUGGUGGGGUGAUGGCCUACCAAGGCGACGAAGGGUAGCCGGCCUGAGAGGGUGAUCGGCCACAGUGGGACUGAGAUACGGGCCAGACUCAUACGGGAGGCAGCAGUGGGGAAUAUUGCACAAUGGGCGGAAGCCUGAUGCAGCGACGCCGCGUGAUGGAUGACUGCCUUCGGGUUGUAAACCUCUUUCAGCAGGGACGAAGCGUAAGUGACGGUACCUGCAGAAGAAGCACCGGCUAACUAUGUG
RNAcentral lists this ribosomal RNA (467 nucleotides) under uncultured bacterium. RNAcentral's name for it is "partial 16S ribosomal RNA". It matches the Rfam family "Bacterial small subunit ribosomal RNA", at positions 28 to 507 of the family's 1533-position model. The record is from RNAcentral.